Molecule: unclassified non-coding RNA, 820 nt
Filed under: Hevea brasiliensis (rubber tree)
Lineage: Eukaryota; Viridiplantae; Streptophyta; Magnoliopsida; Malpighiales; Euphorbiaceae
Source: RNAcentral
UUCUUUGAUUCCCAAAAGAUUCGGACAUUGUUUGGAGAAAGCUGAUCCAACACCAUUUGAAUUGUGCUCGGAGAGAAAUUAGAAGGCAAGGAUAACCCAACUAGCCAAUCUUUAGGAGGAUAUAACUUCAUAUUGGAUGCAAUUUUGACUACAUAAUCAAUUGGAGGGGUUUUGUCCUGAUAAUGGAAUAUUGUCUCACAAACAGCAGCAAGCUCAUCAAAUAUCCAUUUGGAAACACCAGAUUGCUGCAAAAGCCGAAUGUAUUUGAAUAGCAGCCCUACAAUAUCCUGCAUGUGCUCAUGGCCAGCAUCAGUAAGAUCAAUUACUACUUUGAAGAAAGAAAACUCUGUCGUCCAGUCCCCUUCACCAGCAGCCAAGCCAGUAGCCCACCCCAAAGUUUUCAAGACAUAAAACAAAGAUCCUUCUCCUUCAUGGCCAAUAAGAUGGCUAAGAUACCUGCAUGGCCCUUCCUUGUAGUGAAGAAUGCCUGGAGUUAUUGGCCAUAUGAUUUUCAAUUUGUGACCUUGUUUUAUUGGGAUAGCUCUUACAAGUAUCUGUAAAUGUUCUGAUGUACAAGGCUGACCAGGAAAAGACAAAAAGCUUCUAUCAUUGUUUCUUAUUUCCUGGAACUUGUCCUCAACAAGGCUUUGAAUUUUAUCAAGGCUUUCCUUAGAAUAUAUCACCAGAUGCAUAAGGUUGGCAGAAUAAUUUUCAUCAUAGAACUUAAUAAGCUCCUCUCUUGUAUUCAAUCCUUUUGCUUUUGGUCGAACUUCCAGAGUAUCCCAAUUCCCAGUACUGAAUUUAUGAUAUGGAUGGCCUU